This is a regulatory RNA element of Kutzneria sp. 744, 59 nucleotides long. It matches the Rfam family "Actino-pnp RNA". The record is from Rfam. NCBI's taxonomy places the organism in Bacteria, Bacillati, Actinomycetota, Actinomycetes, Pseudonocardiales, Pseudonocardiaceae.
GCCGGUCCUCGGUAGUGGUCCCCGGGAACAAUCCCCGUGGACUUCGAUCGAAGACCGGC